UACAGAGGUGGCAAGCGUUGUUCGGAAUUACUGGGCGUAAAGGGCUCGUAGGCGGCCAACUAAGUCGGACGUGAAAUCCCUCAGCUUAACUGGGGAACUGCGUCUGAUACUGGAUGGCUUGGAUUUGGGAGAGGGAUGCGGAAUUCCAGGUGUAGCGGUGAAAUGCGUAGAUAUCUGGAGGAACACCGGUGGCGAAGGCGGCAUCCUGGACCAACAUUGACGCUGAGGAGCGAAAGCCAGGGGAGCAAACGGG
This 253-nucleotide ribosomal RNA is filed under the name uncultured bacterium. RNAcentral describes it as "partial 16S ribosomal RNA". It matches the Rfam family "Bacterial small subunit ribosomal RNA", at positions 524 to 776 of the family's 1533-position model. The record is from RNAcentral.